UAGGGGUAAUUCGGGGGCAGAGGUAUAUCCGGGCGAGGGGUGAAAUCCGUUGACCCUGGAUAGACCAUCUAAAGCGAAAGCAUCUGCCAAGGAUACUUUCUUUAACUAAGAACGAAAGUUGGAGGAUCGAAGACGAUUAGAUACCGUCCUAGUUCCAACUGUAAACGAUGCCAUCUGUCGAUUCUAUAUUUGUAUAUGUAAUAUGCAAUAUAGAGGAGAUGACCGGAAACGUAAAGUUUUUCGGUUCCGGGGGAAGUAUGGUUGCAAAACUGAAACUUAAAGGGAUUGACGGAAAGUCACCACCAGAAAUGGAGCUUGCGGCUUAAUUUGACUCAACACGGGAAAACUUACUCAGUCUAGACACUAAGAGGAUUGUCGUAGUAAUACUACUACAAGAUAUGGUGCAAAGUGGUGCAUGGCCGUUCUUAGUUCGUGGAGCAAUCUGUCUGGUUAAUUCCGAUAACGAACGAGAUCUGUUAUUUGUGUUGAUAAAAUAUAUAUUAUAUAUAUUUUAUCUUCACAAUGGAUACGCAAGAAUAAACUUGCAUGAAAGCAAGUAAUAACAGGUCUGUAAUGCCCUUAGUUGUCUGAGGCUGCACGCGUGCUACAAUGGAAAUUGCAGUACGUGUGUAAUACAUGGAAACAUGUAUUUAAACGUGUCAAAUUAUUCCGCAUUCGGGAUCAUGGAUUGUAAUUAUCCAUGUGAACGAGGAACUUCAAGUAAGUGUAUGUCACUACCAUACGCUGAUUACGUCCCUGUCUUUUGUACACACCGCCCGUCGCUGCCUAGAACUGUAUUAAUAUAAGAAAACAUUGGAGGUGUAUAUAGUUUCAAAUUUAUUUGUUAUUAUAUAUGUUGAAGAUGUUUGAUUAUAUUGGUAUGAACCAGGCAAAAGUCGUAACAAGGUGACCGUAGGUGAACCUGCGGGUCGGAUCAUUACC
This 942-nucleotide ribosomal RNA is filed under the name Methylococcales bacterium. Its description in RNAcentral is "bacterial SSU rRNA". It matches the Rfam family "Eukaryotic small subunit ribosomal RNA", at positions 873 to 1831 of the family's 1831-position model. Lineage: Bacteria; Pseudomonadati; Pseudomonadota; Gammaproteobacteria; Methylococcales. The record is from RNAcentral.